AACAUUGCCUUAUGAGCUAUUUAUAUAAGGUAAAUUCUGCCCAGUGAUAUUAUUUAACGGCCGCGGUAUCCUGACCGUGCAAAGGUAGCAUAAUCAUUUGCCCUUUAAUUGGGGGCUUGUAUGAACGAAUAAACAAAAAAUUACUUUCUUAUUAAUAUCCAUAAAAACUUACCUUUAAGUGAAGAGGCUUAAAUAUUUUAAAAAGACAAGAAGACCCUAUCAAGCUUUAUUUAUACUCCUUUCCUUAAGGAACUUAUAAAUUUUAUUGGGGCAAUAAAAAAUUACAAAAAACAUUUUAACCCUUCUAAGAUUCAUUGAUCACAUUAUUUAUCCUUAAUUUGAUAUUAAGAAAGCUACUGUAGGGAUAACAGGCUAAUAUUUCUCGCGAGCCCGUAUCUACAGAAAUGUUUGGCACCUCGAUGUUGGCUUAAGAAACCUAAUCUGCGCAAAAGCAUUUUAAGGGGGUUUGUUCAACCCUUAAUUUCUUA
This 488-nucleotide ribosomal RNA is filed under the name Odontosyllis maculata. Its description in RNAcentral is "partial 16S ribosomal RNA". It matches the Rfam family "Bacterial large subunit ribosomal RNA", at positions 1812 to 2598 of the family's 2925-position model. The record is from RNAcentral. Lineage: Eukaryota; Metazoa; Annelida; Polychaeta; Phyllodocida; Syllidae. RNAcentral also lists the same sequence under 1 other name.